RNAcentral lists this ribosomal RNA (305 nucleotides) under uncultured bacterium. RNAcentral's name for it is "bacterial SSU rRNA". It matches the Rfam family "Bacterial small subunit ribosomal RNA", at positions 774 to 1078 of the family's 1533-position model. The record is from RNAcentral.
AGAGAAUAGAUACCCUGGUAGUCCAUGCUGUAAACGAUGAGAACUAGAUGUUAGGGGGCAUGACCUCUUAGUAUCGAAGCUAACGCGAUAAGUUCUCCGCCUGGGGAGUACGGCCGCAAGGUUAAAACUCAAAGAAAUUGACGGGGGCCCGCACAAGCGGUGGAGCAUGUGGUUUAAUUCGAUGCAACGCGAAGAACCUUACCUACCUUUGAAUCCACGGAACCUAGCAGAGAUGUUGGGGUGCCUUCGGGAACCGUGAGACAGGUGCUGCAUGGCUGUCGUCAGCUCGUGUCGUGAGAUGUUGG